This 495-nucleotide ribosomal RNA is filed under the name uncultured bacterium. RNAcentral describes it as "partial 16S ribosomal RNA". It matches the Rfam family "Bacterial small subunit ribosomal RNA", at positions 28 to 507 of the family's 1533-position model. The record is from RNAcentral.
GACGAACGCUGGCGGCGUGCCUAAUACAUGCAAGUAGAACGCUGAAGGAGGAGCUUGCUUCUCUGGAUGAGUUGCGAACGGGUGAGUAACGCGUAGGUAACCUGCCUGGUAGCGGGGGAUAACUAUUGGAAACGAUAGCUAAUACCGCAUAAGAGUAGAUGUCGCAUGACAUUUGCUUAAAGGGUGCAAUUGCAUCACUACCAGAUGGACCUGCGUUGUAUUAGCUAGUUGGUGAGGUAACGGCUCACCAAGGCAACGAUACAUAGCCGACCUGAGAGGGUGAUCGGCCACACUGGGACUGAGACACGGCCCAGACUCCUACGGGAGGCAGCAGUAGGGAAUCUUCGGCAAUGGACGGAAGUCUGACCGAGCAACGCCGCGUGAGUGAAGAAGGUUUUCGGAUCGUAAAGCUCUGUUGUAAGAGAAGAACGAGUGUGAGAGUGGAAAGUUCACACUGUGACGGUAGCUUACCAGAAAGGGACGGCUAACUACGUG